CAGCAGCCACGGUAAGACAGAGGAUGCAAGCGUUAUCCGGAAUGAUUGGGCGUAAAGCAUCUGUAGAUGGCUUUUCAAGUCCGCCGUCAAAUCACAGGGCUCAACCCUGGACAGGCGGCGGAAACUACCAAGAUGGAGUACGGUAGGGGCAGAGGGAACUUCCGGUGGAGCGGUGAAAUGCGUUGAGAUCGGAAGGAACGCCCGUGGCGAAAGCGAGGCCCUGGACCCUUUCUGACGCUGAGACGCGAAAGCCAGGGGAGCGAACGGGAUUAGAUACCCCCGUAGUCCCUGUCUCUUAUAC
This 301-nucleotide ribosomal RNA is filed under the name uncultured bacterium. RNAcentral describes it as "partial 16S ribosomal RNA". It matches the Rfam family "Bacterial small subunit ribosomal RNA", at positions 509 to 807 of the family's 1533-position model. The record is from RNAcentral.